Nannospalax galili (Upper Galilee mountains blind mole rat) is the source of this 350-nucleotide long non-coding RNA. RefSeq lists it as uncharacterized. The transcript is spliced from 3 exons. The record is from RefSeq and is a predicted model, not a curated record. NCBI's taxonomy places the organism in Eukaryota, Metazoa, Chordata, Mammalia, Rodentia, Spalacidae.
GGAUGGAGGUUCAGCCUGGAGGGACAUGCAGAGGGUGACAGAAAGGAAAAGUGGGACUCAAGCCUCAAGGAGGGGGGUGCCUCUGGGGCCAUCUGCUACCCAAACCACCCUGGAAUGCAACAGCUGCAACCCUAAGCCUGACUGCUCGGUGCCUCCCCUGCAGCCGCAGAGCCAGGAGGGGAUGUGAUGCCCUCUGACCAUACACUGUGGCCUCUCUUCCAGGUCACCAGCAGCAACCUCCCACCAUCCAAGCAACGCCAUGGUCCAAUUACUUGAAAUAAGAAGCCACUGGGAACACUAGCUCUUUCUCCCCCUGUAGCAGAGGAGGGGGUUUGUUCCAGCUGAAACAA